This 553-nucleotide long non-coding RNA is filed under the name Olea europaea subsp. europaea. Lineage: Eukaryota; Viridiplantae; Streptophyta; Magnoliopsida; Lamiales; Oleaceae. The record is from RNAcentral.
GGGAAAUGAAUGUCACAACAAAGAAGUUCGAGUCUUCGACUAGGUCUACCUGCCAAAUCGCAUGGCCUACCCACUCUGCGUGAAUCGUCUUGCCGUUUAUAUUGCCAUUUUUGGGUAGACUUUUCAGAACAUUAAUGGCCGCUAUCAUCUUCAGUAACUAAUUUGAAUCCCUUCAAUUUCUGGUUUUAUUCAUUGACCUCCCCAAAUCACACACACAACGCACUAAUCUAGCUGAUUGUUUCGGUGAUACUAUCGAAGUAGGAGAUGUUAUUGACAAGGGGAGUGUCCCGUAUAUCGAGGACAUGUUACUGCCGGCGUCAAUGGACUUUCUCUUCUUUACGUAAAAACGAGCAGCAAUUGGUCCAGCAUGACAACCAAUUUCUCUCCCCCUUGCGCGCUUCUGAGGAGGUGAAUCAACUCGUUCAUUGAUUUGUAUUUGUUGAUAUUAGUGUCACACAUUUUAGGGUUGCUAUUGAUGAGAGUUGCUCGUUGAAGUUAAUUUGUAAAUUGUAAUAACUGGGUUACGGACUGAAGAGCCAUGGUUUAAAGCUGA